CGCAAUGGGCGAAAGCCUGACGGAGCGACGCCGCGUGAUUGAUGAAGUCCCUAGGGACGUAAAGAUCUUUUAUGAGGGAAGAAGUUUAUUGACGGUACCUCAUGAAUAAGGAGCUCCUAAUCUCGUGCCAGCAGGAGCGGUAAUACGAGAGCUCCAAGCAUUAUCCGGAAUUAUUGGGCGUAAAGGGUGCGUAGGUGGCAUUGUUAGUCUUUUGUUAAAUCUCCGAGCUUAACUUGGAAACCGCAAAGGAAACGGCAAAGCUAGAGAAUGUGAGAGGUAUGUGGAACUCUAAGUGUAGGGGUGAAAUCCGUUGAUAUUUAGGGGAACACCAAAAGCGAAGGCAACAUACUGGCACAUAUCUGACACUCAAGCACGAAAGCGU
This 382-nucleotide ribosomal RNA is filed under the name uncultured organism. RNAcentral's name for it is "bacterial SSU rRNA". It matches the Rfam family "Bacterial small subunit ribosomal RNA", at positions 367 to 762 of the family's 1533-position model. The record is from RNAcentral.